Molecule: RNA transcript, 3820 nt
Organism: Ziziphus jujuba (common jujube)
Lineage: Eukaryota; Viridiplantae; Streptophyta; Magnoliopsida; Rosales; Rhamnaceae
Gene name: receptor-like protein 35
Exons: 2
Source: RefSeq, a predicted model, not a curated record
UGAGGGGAUCAUUGUGUAUCUCACUAUCUCGUACAGCCACAAUGACAAUUCCAGUGCUUGUUUCAUGGCUUUUCUUGAUGUUAUCCAUUUACUCAUCUUUAUUCGGUCAUGUUGUUGUUGUGGUUGGUCAAUGUCUCAGCCAUCAACAAUCUUUGUUGCUGCAACUCAAGCAUGCCAUCAUCUUCAACGAAACCAGUUCCAAAAUUUUGGUGAAUUGGAAUGAAAGCUCCGAUUGUUGUACUUGGCCUGGUAUAACCUGUGAUGAUGAUGGACGUGUCAUUGGUCUCAAAUUGAGCAACGAACAGAUAUCUGGUGGGAUUCAUGACAACUCUACACUCUUCAACCUCGUGGACCUCAAGAGCUUGGAUUUGUCUUCUAACGAAGACUUGCAAUCAGAGAUGCCAUCAAGGAUAGGUAACCUCACAAAUUUGAAUUAUCUGAACUUGUCAAAUUCUUUUUGGUUUCAUCAAAUCCCAAAAACAAUAUCACUCCUGAAUAAGUUACUUAUCCUUGAUCUAUCUUACUCUGAUGAAUAUUACUGUCUUGAUCAACAAUAUGACAAGGGCUCAAAUUUGAGCAUGCAUAUGUUUACAAACCUCACAAGACUUGAAGAACUAUAUGUUGGUUGUGUAAAUCUAUCAGCAUCAGGGAAUGAAUGGGGCCAGGCUUUAUCUUCUUCACUGCCUAAUUUGCGAGUAUUGAGUUUAAUCUCUUGUUCUCUUUCUGGUCCUAUUGAUAAGUCGCUUGCCAAGCUUCAAUACCUAUCAGUGAUUCAUCUAGAUGACAACGAUCUUUUGUCUUCUAAAGUUCCAAAAUUCUUUGCGAAUUUCUCAAAUUUGACUACCUUGUCUCUAAGUGGUUGCGGCUUGUAUGGAAUGUUUCCUAAAGAGAUCUUUCAGGUACCAACACUAACGAUUCUUGACAUAUCGAGGAAUGAAUUACUUGGUGGUUCUUUGCCAGAAUUUCCCCUGGACAGUGAUCUUCAAAGUCUGGUGCUUUACGGAACUAAUUUCAGUGGGAGUUUGCCUGCUUCUAUUGGCAAUCUUGGUCAGUUAUCCAGAUUAGACAUUUAUCAUUGUCAGUUCAGCGGUUCACUUCCAAAGUCCAUGGCAAAUCUCACCCAACUUGUUCAUCUUGAUUUAUCAUCAAACAUGUUCACUGUUCCAAUUCCAUCUUUUAAUAUGUCCAAGAUCUUGAUGGAAAUAAACCUAUCCAAUAAUUCUCUCAAUGGAAACAUCCCUUCAUCUCUGUUUGCCCUUCCAUCAUUAGAUAGCAUUCAUCUUGCAAACAAUCAAUUUAGCGGAGUUGAUGAAUUUCCAAAUGUAUCUUCCUCAGUGUUGAAAUCCAUUGAUUUAAGGAGCAACAAACUACAAGGUACUGUUCCAUCAUCUUUGUUUGCCCUUCCAUCAUUAGAAAGCAUUCAUCUUGGAAAGAAUCAAUUUAGCAGAGUUGAUGAAUUUCCAAAUGUAUCUUCCUCAGUGUUGAAUUCCAUUGAUUUAAGUAGCAACAACCUACGAGGUACUGUUCCAUCAUCUCUGUUUACCCUUCCAUCAUUAGAAGAAAUUGAUCUUGCAAACAAUCAAUUUACCGGAGUUGAUGAAUUUUCAAAUGUAUCUUCCUCAGUGUUGAAAUCCAUUGAUUUAAGGAGCAACAAACUACAAGGUACUGUUCCAUCAUCUCUGUUUGCCCUUCCAUCAUUAGAAAGCAUUCAUCUUGGAAAGAAUCAAUUUAGCAGAGUUGAUGAAUUUCCAAAUGUAUCUUCCUCAGUGUUGAAUUCCAUUGAUUUAAGUAGCAACAACCUACGAGGUACUGUUCCAUCAUCUCUGUUUACCCUUCCAUCAUUAAAAGAAAUUGAUCUUGCAAACAAUCAAUUUACUGGAGUUGAUGAAUUUCCAAAUGUAUCUUCCUCAGUGUUGAACUCCAUUGAUUUAAGUAGCAACAAACUACAAGGUACUGUUCCAUCAUCUCUGUUUACCCUUCCAUCAUUAGAAAAAAUUGAUCUUGCAAACAAUCAAUUUACUGGAGUUGAUGAAUUUCAAAAUGUAUCUUCCUCAGUGUUGGAAUAUUUAGGCCUUGCUUCUUGCAAACUUGGAGUGUUUCCUUAUCCAAUUAAAAACCUUGCUCUGUUUGAUUUGGACCUUUCAAACAACCAAAUUUCUGGGGAGAUACCUAACUGGAUUUGGAAAGUUGCCGUACAAUUGAAUCUUUCACAUAAUCAACUGGUAGGCAUGCAAGAACCAUAUUCUCUUCAAAAUCUUAGUAGUCUUGAUCUUAGUUUUAACCAACUCCACGGGAAGAUACCCAUUCUACCACCAAAUGCUUUCUACAUAGAUUUGUCUAGCAAUAACUUUCAAUCUUCCAUUCCAUCUGACAUUGGUAAUAACCUCAAUGCUGUAUAUGUAUCCCUCUCAAACAGUGGCCUUACAGGAGUUAUACCUGAAUCAAUAUGCAAAGCAAGUAACCUAGAAGCUCUCGACCUGUCCAACAACACUUUGAGUGGCAAAAUACCAACGUGCAUUUUUGCCAUGGAUUCAAUUGUCAUGGUGAAACUUCGAAGGAACAACUUGAGCGGCCCAAUUCCUGAUGCAUUUCCGGAUAAUUGCAAAUUAGAGAUCCUAGAUCUCUAUGGAAACUUACUCACAGAUAGGAUUCCAAAAUCUCUGGUCAACUGUCAUCCUUUGAAGGUUUUAAACCUUGGGAAAAAUCAAAUGCUGGACACUUUUCCACUAUUUUUGAAAAGAAUAUCUACAUUGCUCAUCCUUAUUUUGAAAUCAAAUAGAUUGCAUGGCAGCAUUACAUGUGCUGACAACAUUGGCGGUUGGCCAGUGAUUGAAAUUGUGGUUGUAGCUUCCAACAAUUUCAGUGGUGAACUACCAUUUCAAUGCUUAACAACAUGGGGUGUAAUGAAAGGUGAUUCACCAUUUCCAUUGCCAUCCGCAUCCCACUUUAGUUAUAACAGAGCAAUGAGUAGUUUUGACUAUAAAGAUGUAGUACCAGUUACCAACAAACGUCUAGAAAUGGACCUGGUAAAGGUACCCGAGGGAUUCACUUGCAUUGACUUUUCAAGCAACAACUUCUCUGGUGAAAUCCCAAAACAACUGGGACUACUCACAUAUCUGAAGGUACUCAACUUGUCCAAUAAUGCUCUCAGCGGUCAUAUCCCAUCAUCUUUUGGCAACAUGCAUGAGUUGGAGUCAUUAGACCUCUCGAGGAAUCGUCUGAAUGGAGAAAUCCCAGCAUCACUUUCGAAUUUGAAUUUCCUUGAAGUCCUAGACCUGUCGCAUAAUCAGCUUUCUGGAAGAAUCCCCAAGGGUACUCAAAUUCAAACCUUUUCAGCUGAUUGUUUUCAGGAUAAUGAAGGAUUAUGUGGGCCUCCUUUGACACCACGUUGCAAAAAUGAUGAGGUUGAUCUGCCACCAAAAACAUCUCAUGAAGCCAGUCAUCAAAACUCUGGCAACGAAGACAUCAAAUGGGAUCUAAUAAGUGCCGAAGUUGGUUUUGUUGUUGGAUUUGGAACUGUGAUUGGGCCUCUUGUGUUUUCCAGCAGAUGGAGGAAGCGCUAUUACGACCGUGUUGAGGACAUUGCGUUUAGGAUUUUACCUAAUCUGAUUCUUGAGAAAUGGUUGUCAUGGAAGAUGGGAAUGCGAAAAUAAUAAGCAGAGGAAUCAGAGUUGGUGGCAAAAGAGCAACUCGGAUGGAUGGGAAUAAGAUGGACGGAAAUGUUUGCCACUACCACUGUUAUCACUAUGUAAUGUUGUCAUGACCUUGAAGUAAUACUUAAUUCUGCAUGUGAGCUUUCAUUUAUUAAAAGUCCAACCUA